GAUUAACGCUGGCGGCGUGCAUAACACAUGCAAGUCGAACGAUGAAACUUAACUGAUUUCUUCGGAAUGAUUUUAAGUGGAUUAGUGGCGGACGGGUGAGUAACGCGUGAGUAACCUGCCUUGGAGAAGGGGAUAGCCUUUGGAAACGAAGAAUAAUACCCUAUGAUAUGAUAAUAUCUCAUGAUAUUAUCAUCAAAGAUUUAUCGCUCUAAGAUGGACUUGCGUCUGAUUAGUUAGUUGGUGAGGUAACAGCUCACCAAGGCAGCGAUCAGUAGCCGGCUUGAGAGAGUGUACGGCCACAUUGUGACUGAGACACGGCCCAGACUCCUACGGGAGGCAGCAGUGGGGAAUUUUGCACAAUGGGGGAAACCCUGAUGCAGCGACGCCGCGUGAUUUAGAAGGCCUUCGGGUUGUAAAAAUCUUUUGUAUGGGAAGAAAAUGACAGUACCAUACGAAUAAGGACCGGCUAAUUACGUG
This 477-nucleotide ribosomal RNA is filed under the name uncultured bacterium. RNAcentral's name for it is "partial 16S ribosomal RNA". It matches the Rfam family "Bacterial small subunit ribosomal RNA", at positions 28 to 507 of the family's 1533-position model. The record is from RNAcentral.